ACGACGCUGGCGGCGUGCUUCAUACAUGCAAGUCGAACGAGAAGUUACCUUCGGGUGAUGGAAAGUGGCGGACGGGUGAGUAAAAUGUAGGAAAUCUGCCCUAGAGAGGGGGACAACGGUUGGAAACGACCGCUAAUACCCCAUAUGAGCGUACCUGGAAUGGUAUUCUUGAAAACUCCGGUGCUCUAGGAUGAGCCUGCAUCUGAUUAGCUAGUUGGUGAGGUAACGGCUCACCAAGGCUGCGAUCAGUAGCCGGACUGAGAGGUUGAACGGCCACAUUGGGACUGAGAUACGGCCCAGACUCCUACGGGAGGCAGCAGUGGGGAAUAUUGGGCAAUGGGGGAAACCCUGACCCAGCAACGCCGCGUGAAGGAAGAAGGCUUUCGGGUUGUAAACUUCUUUUACCAGGGACGAAGGACGUGACGGUACCUGGAGAAAAAGCGACGGCUAACUACGUG
Molecule: ribosomal RNA, 458 nt
Filed under: uncultured bacterium
Lineage: Bacteria
Description: bacterial SSU rRNA
Rfam family: Bacterial small subunit ribosomal RNA
Source: RNAcentral